Molecule: ribosomal RNA, 625 nt
Filed under: Salmonella enterica
Lineage: Bacteria; Pseudomonadati; Pseudomonadota; Gammaproteobacteria; Enterobacterales; Enterobacteriaceae
Also listed under: 1 other name
Description: partial 23S ribosomal RNA
Rfam family: Bacterial large subunit ribosomal RNA
Source: RNAcentral
GCGUGGAGCCGACCUUGAAAUACCACCCUUUAAUGUUUGAUGUUCUAACGUGGACCCGUGAUCCGGGUUGCGGACAGUGUCUGGUGGGUAGUUUGACUGGGGCGGUCUCCUCCUAAAGAGUAACGGAGGAGCACGAAGGUUGGCUAAUCCUGGUCGGACAUCAGGAGGUUAGUGCAAUGGCAUAAGCCAGCUUGACUGCGAGCGUGACGGCGCGAGCAGGUGCGAAAGCAGGUCAUAGUGAUCCGGUGGUUCUGAAUGGAAGGGCCAUCGCUCAACGGAUAAAAGGUACUCCGGGGAUAACAGGCUGAUACCGCCCAAGAGUUCAUAUCGACGGCGGUGUUUGGCACCUCGAUGUCGGCUCAUCACAUCCUGGGGCUGAAGUAGGUCCCAAGGGUAUGGCUGUUCGCCAUUUAAAGUGGUACGCGAGCUGGGUUUAGAACGUCGUGAGACAGUUCGGUCCCUAUCUGCCGUGGGCGCUGGAGAACUGAGGGGGGCUGCUCCUAGUACGAGAGGACCGGAGUGGACGCAUCACUGGUGUUCGGGUUGUCAUGCCAAUGGCACUGCCCGGUAGCUAAAUGCGGAAGAGAUAAGUGCUGAAAGCAUCUAAGCACGAAACUUGCCCCGA